Long non-coding RNA from Ailuropoda melanoleuca (giant panda), 1756 nucleotides. RefSeq lists it as uncharacterized. The transcript has 4 exons. The record is from RefSeq and is a predicted model, not a curated record. NCBI's taxonomy places the organism in Eukaryota, Metazoa, Chordata, Mammalia, Carnivora, Ursidae.
UAUCCAGGUGAACCCAGUGUAAUCACGAGGGCCUUUAAAGGGAGGGCAGAGUCAGAGAAUGUGAUGAGGGAAGCGAAAGUCUCCUGAUUCGAGGAAGGGCCAGGACCCUGGCGGGCUGGCCGGCUCUAGAAGCUGGAAAAGACAAGGCAAUGGAUGCUUCUUUAGAACAUCCAGACCGAAUGCAGCUGGGCUGACACCUUGAUUUCAGGACUUCUGAUCUCCAGAACGCAUGCAUACACGAAUAUACUGACUCUUCUUUGCCGAGGCCGAUGGCUGGCUGGAAGACAGUGUGGAUGGACUUCCUUUCCAGUUCGGUGUGUAAGAGGAUUAGAAGUCGCUACUCCAUCCUAAGGACAAGUAAAAAGCUGAACAGACUGAAAAAUCAACAACUGUCUUCCGUCCCUAAGAGCGAGGAACCCAGGGCAAACCGCAGACCCCAGGCUGGAGGAACAGCCUUGCUGUGUGCAGUGAACGAGCUUCCUGUAACUCCCACAGAAGCAGACAAGGGAAGCAGGCCCCUGAGGUGGGAUGCUGCCGGAGUGAUGGAGUUCUACAAGCGCAGCUGAACUGCAGGAACUGACAAAUUGGCCCAAAUUAUUUGCCUUACUAGGUUUGAAUGAAAAGAUAGACUCCUGAAGUCGGAUGAUGAAUUAGAAGAGGAUGAACCAUCUGGUCCGGUGAAUAUUUUGUGCCAGUAAAAACUGUACCCUGGCUUCAAUGUCAAGCAUCAGGGUACAAGGAUUAGAGGUGGACUUUAACUUCACCUAUCUAUUUCAGUGAGACACUUUUUGGCUGUACACAAAUUCAUAGACCAUUUGCAAUAGAUCUUCACAGAGAUGAGGCACUUCAAAGACCUUUCUUUGGUCUCCCAUGGAAUUCUUUAGCAUAUGUCACACGGAGUUGCUCUGUUGCUCUAGUCUCCGUUUGGAGUGUAUUGUUGAUAUGUUGCUACAGCCGGGGAACUGAUUGCGGCUUUAAUUUUUGUUCUUAGAAGCAGCUGGUCUUAUGCCAAUAUUAACAGUGCUUUCAUCCUUAAGGCUGUAAGGCACUCCAGCAUACAGUCAUAUGAGCUGCUGACUCCAUUGUGAUAAGUCCUUUCUCAAUAGGCCCUUUGGGGUUCUAUUCAAUCACACGUUCACUCAAAGGAUUUUAACAGCAUAGGCCAAAAUUAGACAUCUUGUUUGACUAAUUAUAAACAAUAUAUUAUCUUCUAUUCUGCAAUUAAUUUCAAUUCAGAAGUAAACUUAGCAACACAUACGCCCCUAGUAGUAGUUCUCAAAGAGCACUCCCUGAAUUGGAAGCAUUAGAAUAACCUUGUCACUUGUUAGAAAUAAAAAUUCUUGGGUCCACUACCGAGUGAUUGUGAUGUGUGCUGAAGUUUAAGAGCAGACCUCCUCACACGUUCCAUGUCACAACUGCACAUGACAACUCACUCAUUUCUGAUUUUGCUUUACAAUUGCACACCUUUUUGCCUUCACUUAAAUUGUUUCUUCUGCCUGAACAGUCCUCUUCCACAGUUUCAGAUGUUCACUCAUUCUAUCCAGUUGUAUCUAGCUUUCUCCAAUCAGUAUCAUGGGCUCCUCACUCUAUGCAUGUAAAGUAUUUCGCUUCUAUAACUUAGCUUAUGUCACGCCUUGUGUAAAGUUAUUUGUGUUCAUGGUUGCCCCCCACUGUGGUAGAUUGCAAGGUUUACUUGCAGUGACAGCGUACUAUUCAUCUGUUUUCUGUACUAUUCAACUGUUUGGUCUUAGUUUCC